RNAcentral lists this ribosomal RNA (330 nucleotides) under Triticum aestivum (bread wheat). RNAcentral's name for it is "partial small subunit ribosomal RNA". Lineage: Eukaryota; Viridiplantae; Streptophyta; Magnoliopsida; Poales; Poaceae. The record is from RNAcentral.
AUGGGAUUAACGGGAACAUUUGAUUACCAAUUGCAAUGCCUGCCGCGUGAGAAUGCGCGUGCGAUCUGGUUGGGACAUCGAUUUUCUUCCGAGAAUGGUAGGAAACCAUAUUUAACGGUACACGAGCUUUCAGUGAACAACGCUUUUGCUGGAAUGCAAAUUUGUAAACGGCGAAGGUGCGUAUGCACUAAGAAGAACCUUCAAGGAAUUUUAGCCGCUGAACUUUCUGCACAGCAACAAAACCAGUUGUCCUUCAGAAAUUUCCAUGUUCCACAUGGAGACCGGAAGCUGGCAUGGAACGUGGUACGGGAAAAAAGCAACGGUCAGUAA